AUUGAACGCUGGCGGCAGGCCUAACACAUGCAAGUCGAGCGAGCGGCGGACGGGUGAGUAAUGUCUGGGAAACUGCCUGAUGGAGGGGGAUAACUACUGGAAAGGGUAGCUAAUACCGCAUACCAUCAGAUGUGCCCAGAUGGGAUUGGCUUGUAGGUGGGGUAAUGGCUCACCUAGGCGCCGAUCCCUAGCUGGUCUGAGAGGAUGACCAGCAACACGGGAACUAGGACACGGUCCAUACUCCUACGGGAGGCAGCAGUGGGGAAUAUUGCACAAUGGGCGCAAGCCUGAUGCAGCAAUGCCGCGUGUGUGAAGAAGGCCUUCGGGUUGUAAAGCACUUUCAGCGGGGAGGCGGUACCCGAAGAAGAAGCACCGGCUAACUCCGUGCCAGCAGCCGCGGUAAUAG
This 406-nucleotide ribosomal RNA is filed under the name uncultured bacterium. RNAcentral describes it as "partial 16S ribosomal RNA". It matches the Rfam family "Bacterial small subunit ribosomal RNA", at positions 30 to 526 of the family's 1533-position model. The record is from RNAcentral.